UGCGCGCAUGUGUGCGAUCAAUGUGUACAUCAAUAGAAAAUAGAAAUAGUAAAAUCUUCAGUUUGAACUCGGCUUGAACGUCGUGUACUGCGGCGGCUUCUCGAUCUUGCAGUGGGGCUUCAGGGUUGCUAAACGAUCUGGUUUGAGAAACAGCUGCUCCCCCUGCACAAUUUUCAUCUUAAGGAUCUUAAGAGAAUACGAAUCUGGUCGCGUUCAAGGCACGCGUAUAACCAGAAGCAUCGGACAAAUAAAACUCUACAGGUUAUGAACGAAGUGGCAUCAAUGAUAGUUUCGAGAUGCGAGCAGCAAAGCUAAUUAAUCGUUACAAUGAUUUUGCGCAAUGAUAAUGACGAUUCGCGAUCGGACGAAGUGCAAAUGAGAUGAAAUGGAGGAAAGAGAAAGAGAGAGAAAGAAUGAAUGAAACAGAAAGAGUGGGAGAGAAGAACGUCUCGAUGAAUAUAAAAGGAUUGCCAGAUCCGGCCGCACGACUCGCGACUCCAAUCCUCGCCUUCCACCACCAGCGGAGCGUACCAGAGGCGCGUUUCCGGCAUCCGAGAUUAAAACGAAAUCGCUUCGCCACCUUUUUUCCCCUUCUCUUUUCCUUUUUCUUCUUUUUAACUUUUAAUCCUUCCCGAUGUUUCGUGAUAAUAAACGAACAAACAGAACAA
This 668-nucleotide long non-coding RNA is filed under the name Apis dorsata (giant honeybee). RNAcentral describes it as "uncharacterized LOC102672845, transcript variant X3". The record is from RNAcentral. Lineage: Eukaryota; Metazoa; Arthropoda; Insecta; Hymenoptera; Apidae.